UUAUGGCUCAGGAUGAACGCUGGCGGCGUGCCUAAUACGAUGCAAGUCGAACGAGGUAGCAAGUACCGAGUGGCGAACGGGUGAGUAACACGUAGGUAACCUGCCUUAAGCUUGGGAUACCCAGAGGAAACUUUGGCUAAUACCGGAUAACAACAGAGAAGGCAUCUCUUUGCUUGAAAGGCCCCUUCAAGGGUCACUUAAGGAUGGACCUGCGGCGCAUUAGCUAGUUGGUGGGCAACGGCCCACCAAGGCGAGGAUGUGUAGCCGACCUGAGAGGGUGAACGGCCACAAUGGAACUGAGACACGGUCCAUACUCCUACGGGAGGCAGCAGUAGGGAGUUUUCGGCAAUGGGCGAAAGCCUGACCGAGCAACGCCGCGUUGAGUGAGAAGGUCUUCGGAUUGUAAAGCUCUGUUACGAGGGACGAACGGUGGGGUCAGGAAAUGGGCCCCAAUUGACGGUACCCCGCCAGAAAGUGACGGCUAACUACGUGCCAGCAGCCGC
This 503-nucleotide ribosomal RNA is filed under the name uncultured bacterium. RNAcentral's name for it is "bacterial SSU rRNA". It matches the Rfam family "Bacterial small subunit ribosomal RNA", at positions 17 to 518 of the family's 1533-position model. The record is from RNAcentral.